Long non-coding RNA from Gossypium arboreum, 512 nucleotides. RefSeq lists it as uncharacterized. The transcript is spliced from 2 exons. NCBI's taxonomy places the organism in Eukaryota, Viridiplantae, Streptophyta, Magnoliopsida, Malvales, Malvaceae. The record is from RefSeq and is a predicted model, not a curated record.
UUGCAGUUUAGUAAAGAUAGAACGUUGAAUCAGCAUCCUAGUUCGAUCCCGAAUUCAUUAAGGUGAUACGGGCGAUGGGAUGGGGUUAGGUAGUGGCAGCAGACAGAGGGAUGGGCAUGCUGGCCUAGGCACGGCGGCUGACAAUCGGAGCAAGUGGGGAGGCUGAGAAUGAGGCUAGGGUUUCGGUGGUAAAUGGGUUAGUUUAGAUGGGCUUGGGUAGGUUUAGUUUGGGUUAGUUUGUAUUAGAUAUUGGGCUUUGUAAUUUUAAUGGGUUUAAAAUGUUGUAAACGGGCUUAUGGGUUUAGGGAUUGGGUUUAAUUAGGCUCCGGGUAUGGGUUUGAAAAUGGGUUAAGGGGUUUGGAUGUAAAUGGGCCCGAGUCAUUUAAAACGGCCCAAAAUUGGCCUAUAACAGUGCAAAAUGUUUGAAUCAUAAAUCAAACAUAAUAACUUUAAAAGGAUUUAGACGAAUUAAUAAAACAAAGCUUAUAUAUAAUUUACAUAUGGAAUCAAAA